Molecule: long non-coding RNA, 1158 nt
Organism: Lacerta agilis (Sand lizard)
Lineage: Eukaryota; Metazoa; Chordata; Lepidosauria; Squamata; Lacertidae
Exons: 2
Source: RefSeq, a predicted model, not a curated record
UUUACUUUGUCCGCAAGCACACAGAGAUUAUGUUAAGUUGUGUAAGGGGAGGAGAAGGGAACUUGUCUUCUAACUAUUUUUCAGGAGGGCAGAGUAUUAGUUCAGCAGCAAAACUCUUUAAAUGCUUGACCCUGUUUCUGGUGCAGAAUAUGGUGCUAUUUGGGUGUGUUUGUGUUUUGCUAAGCCACCAGGGCUCCAUCUUAUCUGAAGUUAUCCUAGACCAGCCUCUGCCAUCUUGGAGGGGCCUCACAAUGGUAAACGGACCCUGCAGACUACAGGCCGAGGUCCUCAUUUUCGCGGCCAACCUCUUCCAUUCCAUUUCCAAACACAACCUUUCUCCUAAACCGCUGGGUAGGAGAACUCGUACAGAUCUAGCGUGCUUUGAAAUCUUAAAGAGUGGUGCCUGUGGCAUGAGCUUGGAUAGCACCCAUUUAUUUUGCGGGGAGCGCACACCCUCAGAAAAUCUGAAACACACGCACACCCUGUGAUUUUCUGGUUCUCUUCCCCCCCCCCAACCUAAGCCCCUUCUUUGCAACUUGGAUAGAGUGUUUGAUAAAGAAACUUUGGGAUUGCUUUGAGAUGGUGUGUGUACUCUUUGUGAAAGUGUGCGGGUCAUUGCAACAGCGAUGGUAGAAUUGGUUUGCGUCCAGUGGAGUCGCUUGGGUUUUUAAAAGUUGUAGAAUUGCUUCAAAAUCAGGGCAGGGGUGGGGGGCUUCUGGGGUUGGGUGUUAAUGGUGCUCCCCCUGCCCCCGAAACAGACCCACAGGGGGAAAAGUAGCCUUUCGCAGGGUAAAAACUACUUUCCGAUCAGUCUAACACACUGUAGUAGAUGCAGUCCAUUAAGCAGGAGGCCACAAUCUCCUGUGAAGUUUGAAAUCAGCUUUGCCGGGUAUCUUAAUAUCCAACAAGAACUUCCGUAGAAACUGGCUUGCUUGUCUGUGUUUAACUAGGAUAGGAAUUUGUGGUACUCUGAAAGAAAGGUGGGUGCUGGGGGGUUGAUAGCAAGCAUCCCAUUUGCAAAAUAUCUUUGUCUCGGUUGCCUGCAGGCAACUUCCUGGAUGCAGGAGGCUGUUUUUGCAAAUCUGGUUCAAAACAGGUCUUCCUCCCUGCAGCCCUUCAUAAUUCUGGAUUUCCUCACCCACAUGCACAUUGGAACCU